RNAcentral lists this ribosomal RNA (775 nucleotides) under uncultured Neocallimastigales. Its description in RNAcentral is "partial large subunit ribosomal RNA". It matches the Rfam family "Eukaryotic large subunit ribosomal RNA", at positions 22 to 644 of the family's 3401-position model. The record is from RNAcentral. Lineage: Eukaryota; Fungi; Neocallimastigomycota; Neocallimastigomycetes; Neocallimastigales.
CAUAGCGACUAUCGUGGCAUAUCAAUAAGCGGAGGAAAAGAAACUAACAAGGAUUCCCCUUAGUAACGGCGAGUGAAGCGGGAAGAGCUCAAAUUUGAAAUCUUCAAGGUUUGACCUUGACGAAUUGUAGUUUAAAGAAGUGUUUUCUGUUGAAGUUUUGGUAAAAGUUCUUUGGAAUAGGACAUCAUAGAGGGUGAGAAUCCCGUAUUUGACCAUUAUUUUCAGCUGUGUGAUACACUUUCAAAGAGUCGGAUUGUUUGGGAAUGCAGUCCAAAAUGGGUGGUAAAUUUCAUCUAAAGCUAAAUAUUGGCGAGAGGCCGAUAGCGAACAAGUACCGUGAGGGAAAGAUGAAAAGAACUUUGAAAAGAGAGUUAAACAGUACGUGAAAUUGUCAAAAGGGAAGCGUUUGACACCAGUGUUGUUUUUCCGAAAAUCAAUUACGAAUGUUUUGUUUUUGAGAAGUUAUGACUUCAUCGGCUUGCUUCUCUCUUUACGAAACUUUCUUAAUGCACUUUUCGGUUAACAAGUCAACAUCAAUUUCUUUUGUUGUAAAAGGGUAUGAGGAAGGUGGCUUUCUUUUCGGAGAAAGUGUUUAUAGCCUUGUACCUCUGCAAUCGGAGAGAUUGAGGUCUGCAGCGUAGAUCCUUCGGGGUUAGAUACAUUUGUGCUAAGUUAUAGCUUUUCAUAGACAACUUGUUGACUAUGUUAAGUCUUGUAGCUUACUCGCUUAUGCUAUUUUACCUACGCUUAGGAUGUUGAUAGUCACAGCGUGUAC